CCUACGGGUGGCUGCAGUGGGGAAUAUUGGACAAUGGGGGCAACCCUGAUCCAGCAAUGCCGCGUGUGUGAAGAAGGCCUGCGGGUUGUAAAGCACUUUCAGUAGGGAAGAAAAGCUCGGGGCUAAUACCUCCGGGUCUUGACGUUACCUAAAGAAGAAGCACCGGCUAACUCCGUGCCAGCAGCCGCGGUAAUACGGAGGGUGCGAGCGUUAAUCGGAGUUACUGGGCGUAAAGCGGUAGUAGGUGGUUGAACGCCCUGGGCUUAACCUGGGAACUGCAUUCGAUACUGCCCGGCUAGAGUAUGGGAGAGGGAAGCGGAAUUUCCGGUGUAGCGGUGAAAUGCGUAGAUAUCGGAAGGAACACCAAUGGCGAAGGCAGCUUCCGGGCCCAAUACUGACGCUGAGGUGCGAAAGCGUGGGAUCAAACAGGAUUAGAUACCCCAGUAGUC
RNAcentral lists this ribosomal RNA (449 nucleotides) under uncultured bacterium. RNAcentral's name for it is "partial 16S ribosomal RNA". It matches the Rfam family "Bacterial small subunit ribosomal RNA", at positions 338 to 795 of the family's 1533-position model. The record is from RNAcentral.